CACACUGACACAACUGCACACACACACUGACACAAUUGCACACACUCACACUGACACAAUUACACACUCACACACACUGACACAUUUGCACACUCACGCACACCGCACCAUUUUCCACCACAGCUUUAUUGACCCCCAUCCGCGCAGCGCAGCCCCACAGCGCGCAGCUCUGCCCCAUAAGUGGCCCCAUACGGCCCCAUAGGGCUCAGUGUCCCCAUAGGGCUCAUCAAUGUCCCCAUAGGGUCCACUUUUGUCCCCAUAGGGUCCACCUUUGUCCCCAUAGGGUUCGUUGUCCCCAUAAGUCCCAUCAAUGUCCCUAUAGAACUCACUGCUGACCCCAUAGGUUGUCACGUUGUCCCCAUAGGGCUCAAUGUCCCUAUAGGGCUCAUCAAUGUCCCCAUAGGGUCCACUUUUGUCCCCAUAGGGCUCCCUGGUGACCCUAUAGGUCUCCCUGGUGACCCUAUAGGGCUCACUGUUGUCCCCAUAGGGCUCACUGCUGUCCCCAUAGGUCACCACGUCGCCCCA
Molecule: long non-coding RNA, 525 nt
Filed under: Phasianus colchicus (ring-necked pheasant)
Lineage: Eukaryota; Metazoa; Chordata; Aves; Galliformes; Phasianidae
Description: lncRNA (ENSPCLG00000013893.1)
Source: RNAcentral